Molecule: long non-coding RNA, 387 nt
Filed under: Mytilus galloprovincialis (Mediterranean mussel)
Lineage: Eukaryota; Metazoa; Mollusca; Bivalvia; Mytilida; Mytilidae
Source: RNAcentral
GUCCGAUUAUUUUGCUUUUUGUCCGAUACUUUUGCUUUUUGUCCGUUGCUUUUUGUCCGUUUUGCUUUUUGUCCGAUAAUUUUGCUUUUUGUCCGAUACUUUUGCUUUUUGUCCGUUGCUUUUUGUCCGUUUUGCUUUUUGUCUGAUAAUUUUGCUUUUUGUCCGACACUUUUGCUUUUUGUCCGUUUUGCUUUUUAGCUCACCUGGACCAUAGGACUAAGUGAGCUUUUCUCAUUUUCUCAUUAUUCGUCGUCGUCAUUAAUUUUUACAAAAAUCUUCUCUUCUGAAACUACUGGCAAAAUUAAAGCAAACAUGGCCAAAAUCAUCCUUAGGGUAUUUAGUUUCAAAAAAGUAUCCGAUGACCCCGCCCAAUAAUUAAGAUGGCCG